AAUCGUAUUGCUGGGGGUUGAUCUGGAAUUGUGUAUCCACGCUUUCCCAGUCGGCUCUAUCUGCAUAUACCCAUGUUUUUUGCGUACCUAUUGUUUCCUCGGCAGGCUUGCCUGUCAGUAGGACCCCACAAACCCUUUGUAAUAGAAGUCAGCGUCAAAACAAACUUAAUAGUUA
This 175-nucleotide unclassified non-coding RNA is filed under the name uncultured Pleosporales. RNAcentral's name for it is "sequence contains ITS1". Lineage: Eukaryota; Fungi; Ascomycota; Dothideomycetes; Pleosporales. The record is from RNAcentral.